Molecule: transfer RNA, 72 nt
Filed under: Hippuris montana
Lineage: Eukaryota; Viridiplantae; Streptophyta; Magnoliopsida; Lamiales; Plantaginaceae
Description: tRNA-Met
Source: RNAcentral
CCUACUUAACUCAGUGGUUAGAGUAUCGCUUUCAUACGGCGGGAGUGAUUGGUUUCAUCCAUAGUAGGUAGA